Gavia stellata (red-throated loon) is the source of this 72-nucleotide non-coding RNA. The record is from Rfam. NCBI's taxonomy places the organism in Eukaryota, Metazoa, Chordata, Aves, Gaviiformes, Gaviidae.
UGUUUUGCACAGUGGCAGUAUUGUAGCCUGUGAGGUUAAUCCGAGGCUCGAUUAUUGCUAGUUGAGAAACUC